RNAcentral lists this signal recognition particle RNA (117 nucleotides) under Pan troglodytes (chimpanzee). RNAcentral's name for it is "Metazoan signal recognition particle RNA". It matches the Rfam family "Metazoan signal recognition particle RNA". Rfam says of the family: The signal recognition particle (SRP) is a universally conserved ribonucleoprotein. It is involved in the co-translational targeting of proteins to membranes. Lineage: Eukaryota; Metazoa; Chordata; Mammalia; Primates; Hominidae. The record is from Rfam by way of RNAcentral.
GCCGGGCGUGGUGGCUCACGCCUGUAAUCCCAGCACUUUGGGAGGCCGAGGUGGGUGGAUCACCUGAGGUCAGGAAUUUGAGACCAGCCUGACCAACAUGGUGAAACCCCAUCUCUA